UCGUGUCGUGAGAUGUUGGGGUUAAGUCCCGCAACGAGCGCAACCCUCACCUCUUGUUGCCACCAGGUCAUGCUGGGCACUCUAGAGGAACUGCCCCGGUCAACGGGGAGGAAGGCGGGGAUGACGUCAAGUCAUCAUGCCCCUUACGUCCUGGGCUACACACGUGCUACAAUGGCCGGUACAAAGGGAUGCCACACCGCGAGGUAGAGCUAAACCCAAAAAGCCGGUCUAAGUUCAGAUUGGAGUCUGCAACUCGACUCCAUGAAGGAGGAAUCGCUAGUAAUCGC
RNAcentral lists this ribosomal RNA (287 nucleotides) under uncultured Methylomirabilota bacterium. Its description in RNAcentral is "uncultured candidate division NC10 bacterium partial 16S ribosomal RNA". It matches the Rfam family "Bacterial small subunit ribosomal RNA", at positions 1060 to 1345 of the family's 1533-position model. Lineage: Bacteria; Methylomirabilota (SeqCode). The record is from RNAcentral.